RNAcentral lists this ribosomal RNA (779 nucleotides) under Salmonella enterica. RNAcentral describes it as "bacterial LSU rRNA". It matches the Rfam family "Bacterial large subunit ribosomal RNA", at positions 2164 to 2925 of the family's 2925-position model. The record is from RNAcentral. Lineage: Bacteria; Pseudomonadati; Pseudomonadota; Gammaproteobacteria; Enterobacterales; Enterobacteriaceae. RNAcentral also lists the same sequence under 1 other name.
GUGGACGCCAGUCUGCAUGGAGCCGACCUUGAAAUACCACCCUUUAAUGUUUGAUGUUCUAACGUGGACCCGUUACCCGGGUUGCGGACAGUGUCUGGUGGGUAGUUUGACUGGGGCGGUCUCCUCCUAAAGAGUAACGGAGGAGCACGAAGGUUGGCUAAUCCUGGUCGGACAUCAGGAGGUUAGUGCAAUGGCAUAAGCCAGCUUGACUGCGAGCGUGACGGCGCGAGCAGGUGCGAAAGCAGGUCAUAGUGAUCCGGUGGUUCUGAAUGGAAGGGCCAUCGCUCAACGGAUAAAAGGUACUCCGGGGAUAACAGGCUGAUACCGCCCAAGAGUUCAUAUCGACGGCGGUGUUUGGCACCUCGAUGUCGGCUCAUCACAUCCUGGGGCUGAAGUAGGUCCCAAGGGUAUGGCUGUUCGCCAUUUAAAGUGGUACGCGAGCUGGGUUUAGAACGUCGUGAGACAGUUCGGUCCCUAUCUGCCGUGGGCGCUGGAGAACUGAGGGGGGCUGCUCCUAGUACGAGAGGACCGGAGUGGACGCAUCACUGGUGUUCGGGUUGUCAUGCCAAUGGCACUGCCCGGUAGCUAAAUGCGGAAGAGAUAAGUGCUGAAAGCAUCUAAGCACGAAACUUGCCCCGAGAUGAGUUCUCCCUGAGACUUAAAGUCUCCUGAAGGAACGUUGAAGACGACGACGUUGAUAGGCCGGGUGUGUAAGCGCAGCGAUGCGUUGAGCUAACCGGUACUAAUGAACCGUGAGGCUUAACCCUACAACGCCGAAG